This 251-nucleotide ribosomal RNA is filed under the name uncultured prokaryote. Its description in RNAcentral is "partial 16S rRNA". It matches the Rfam family "Bacterial small subunit ribosomal RNA", at positions 525 to 775 of the family's 1533-position model. The record is from RNAcentral.
ACGUAGGGGGCGAGCGUUGUCCGGAAUUACUGGGCGUAAAGGGAGCGUAGACGGUUUUUUAAGUCUGGAGUGAAAGUCCUGCUUUCAAGGUGGGAAUUGCUUUGGAGACUGGAAGACUUGAGUGCGGAAGAGGUAAGUGGAAUUCCCAGUGUAGCGGUGAAAUGUGUAGAGAUUGUGAAGGACUCCAGUGGCGAAGGCGACUUACUGGGCCUUAACUGAGGCUGAGGCGCGAAUGCGUGGCGAGCGAACAG